AUACAACAUCACAAUAAAAUUAGUAUGUUUUAUAUAUAUAUAUAUAUAUUAGAGAUGCACCGAUGUAUCGGCCAACAAUCGGUAUCGGCCGAUAAAAGUUAUUAUUAUCACUAUCGGCCAUCGGCCGAUUGUUUAAAGACUGCCGAUGAUCAGGGCCGAUUAUAUCCUUUCAAUCAAAAGGAUGCGGAAAAACGUGUUCAGAGUGCAACUCAUACAUACUGUGUAACGCAUUAACAGUUUAAAAAUAAUGACGAUAAAGCAGGCUCUUUUUGACCCUAUGAAUCACCCGUAGUUCAAGCCAGGGUUGCCAGGUCUGCGUAUUUAUUUUUAUUUUUGUAAGAAGUAUAAGAAGUAUCAGAAUGUAUACCAGAAUGUAUCACGUCUCAUGUAAUCACUUUAUUUGUGCUUCAACCGCGGAAAGACGUCAAUAAAACAACUUGUGAACCAUAUGUCACAUCAUGUCAAAUUUACCUCAGGAAUGUUUUCCAGUGUUCACAGUUCCUUAUCUAUCUAUCUAUCUAUCUAUCUAUCUAUAAAUAAAAUAAAUAAAUAAAUAAAAAAAACACUCUAUUUACUGUUAAUUAUGUUUGUGUAAAUUUGCCAUGAAGACAACAAUGCUUAUGAAAACUACCUAAUGUGAUACCAAGUUUUAUACAAACAUUUCAGUUUUUAUUUGAGUAUAAUUAUUAUAUCUGAAAAAUAAACAGCAGCUGAAUAUAAAACUUCUGUUGUUAAUUGUAACCACUAAUAAUGUAGUGUACAAAAUGAGAGGGUUCACCGUAUAGUUUGCAACAUAAUUUGGGACACGUCUUUCAAUAAACUGCAUGACGGUUGCACGCGCACGCAGCGCGCCCAGUGUAGUCAGCUAACAAAUGACUCUUAUGAACUGGUUCUUUGUGAGUCAAAAACACAGCGCAGCCAAAUUCACUUAUAAAUUGUUUUUACAUUUGUUCGUGAAACGGAAAAUUACUGCUUCUUGGCUAACUCAGAAGUCCUCUGUGAAAUGUAGUCCCAUCCGAAUAUGUCUGAGAUUAAUUUCGUAAUUUUUUGGUGAGCUGAUUCUCCGACCGCCCGCUCCACUUUCAUCAUGGAUAAAGGUCUUUUUGCCAUGUGACGAAACAAUAACACGAAAUCAAUAAGUAGAUCCCGAUCACAGAAACUAAUAGCAGAGUUAGGUACGAAUCUAAACGUAUUUUAGUUUUUUUCAAUUGCUAACACAUUUAGUGAUUCAGUUGGCCCAGUUUCCCAAACCAUUCGUUCAAUUCUCAAAACAAAGACACAUUUCUCAAAACGUUUAAAAUGACAACAUUAGAUAGCAAAACAGAUGACACACCAGUCAAAAUCUGAGAGAGAGCUUACAGUUUUUCCCAGCUGCUUAAACACUAUAACCAGGCUUUUGAACUAAAAUUUCAAAACCAUAACGCAAUUUAUCAAAAAGCACACCCAUUUCCCUAAACUAUAAACACUAUUCCCCUUUUUGACACAUGAGUCAGAUUUGUUGAACUGUCACUGCAAAACUCUACACACAAAUCCCUUCAUUUCUCAUUGCCUACACCAUGUUGUCAUUUAGAAAGCACUAGCAUUCAAUAUUGUUCACUCAAGUCAGCAUAGCUUGAGCUCAGUUAGCACACAGUUACCCACGUGGAAACACUAAGGGUCAAAAUUUAUCACAGACCAAUCAGAACCUUCAAUAGAUAUAUAAAAGAGCCAGAGUCAGUUCAUUCAGUUUUGGAAAAAUGGAUCCAGAGAGAUGUGAUUGAAAUGGUUGAGGACACCAGAGAGAAGGAGGAGGAGGAGGAGGAAGAGGAUGAGCAAGAGCAGUAAAAAGUGGAGGAAGAGGUGAAGGAGGAUUAAGAGGAGGAGGAUGAGGAUGAGGGGCAAGGAGACAAGGAGUCUCAGACGAAAUUUGUGCCACUAGUUGACCAUGUCCUUGUCGAUGGUAUGACUAUGAGGGAGGCUGGGCAAUGAGUUCAGCCAAACUUAAGUUGCUUCACCGUCGCCUCGAUCAUAAGAAUCUUCAGGGAGGAAAACAAGACGCAGAGACGAUAGAAUGGAAGAAGCCUGACUAGACUUUUCAGUUGAUGUGUGCCAGGGGUGGAUCAGGCAUGCAAGAGGAUUUUACCCCCGCUGCCUGGAUAGGGCCAGUACAGCCUGUGAUGUUGACGAGAUUCUCUGGCCUGUCCCAGACCAAAGAUAUGAUGCUGGGGCAGAAUAUUUUUUGUUGUUGUUUGGUGUAUUGUAUUGUACAGUACAUUAAGGAAUUAAAAAAUGUGCAAAUGUAUACAUGUGUUCAUCAUGUGAAAAGUUCUGUGAGGGGGAGAACCACAAGCACCACAACUUAUUACUGUUUUUGGUUUUUGUAGUAUUGUUUUGAAUUUAUCUCACCAGUGUGUAAGACUAUGUUGUAGUGUGUAUGUGUGUUUUUGAGGGCUUGUGUGUGAUGUCUGAGGGUAAAGUUUGUUUUUUCAGCAAGAGUGAAUGGUUUUGAGUGGAGAGCUUCAUUUUGACCUGAAAUUAGGAUGUUUGGGGAAUUGGGUGAGACAUUAUGGAUUUGUUUACUGUUUUGAGAAUAUGAGACAUAGUUUCAAGAAAUGUGUUUAAGCAAUCGAGAAACUGUAAAGAAUCAUUUAUGAGUGUUUUAAACUUACACAUACAGUAUAAUUACUGUACACAGUACCAGUACUUUAGAUGAGGGAAAUUUCACUAUUCUAUGUACAGUAAACUGGAGCACAUGUUGUAAAACCCUCAAA
Molecule: long non-coding RNA, 2750 nt
Organism: Ctenopharyngodon idella (grass carp)
Lineage: Eukaryota; Metazoa; Chordata; Actinopteri; Cypriniformes; Xenocyprididae
Exons: 2
Source: RefSeq, a predicted model, not a curated record